Ictalurus punctatus (channel catfish) is the source of this 277-nucleotide long non-coding RNA. The record is from Ensembl. Lineage: Eukaryota; Metazoa; Chordata; Actinopteri; Siluriformes; Ictaluridae.
AUCUUACAGCCUUACAUUAAAGGAUCUGCAGGAAAAUCUGAUAAGAUAAACCAACAUGAAGACCAGAGAGCUGUCUAUAGGAGGAAAAACAAACCAUUUUGAAGCUGAGAAACGAGGAAAAAAUCAGAGCCAUUGCACACACAUUGGGCAACAAUUUAGAAUGUCAUGAAAAAUAUAUAAACCACUAGAUUACUGACAACCAGAUCUCAAACAGGUCGGCCAAGGAAAAGAACAGCAGUUGACAGAAACAUUGUGAGAGCAUUGAAGAAAAGCAUAA